Gallus gallus (chicken) is the source of this 740-nucleotide long non-coding RNA. The record is from Ensembl. NCBI's taxonomy places the organism in Eukaryota, Metazoa, Chordata, Aves, Galliformes, Phasianidae.
UGGUGAAGUUCCAUUGCAAGAGAAGGAAUACUCAGGGUACAGUGUGCAUAUUUGCUGAGAAACUCAGUGUAUAUACACCUGUAUUGUGUAUUGCUUAGACAUACUGUCCAAAUGCAGAACAAAGAUAUGAAACAGAUACAAACAUUUCAGUGUAUUCAAAACCAGGCUGGGAAGGGAAGUAUGGUGGAAAUGCUAAAUCAUGGCCCAAAUCAGUGACUGAGCACCUGGUAGGAAGGCAGGGCCAACCCAGGGGACCUCAGGUGUAUGCAAUGUACCUGAGUGACUGGAAGGGGUGCAGUCAGGAUCCACCCCUUCCCAGAUGUCAUUUAAGGGCUGGCAGUGGAGAUAUGAGUAUCUCUUGCUGAAGAUCCUUGCCUACCUGUGGCCUUUUGAAGAUUCCUGUCAGUGAUGUUUUCCAUGCUAGAAUGUCUCCUGUCUCUCAUAAUCAGAGAGUUGAACUCGAUCAUCUCAUUUGUCUGACCUGAACAGGAAUGGCAGACUCAGCCUCACCAGGAAUUCAGCUGAGGAAAUGAAAAUCUCUCUUAUCGGUACUUUUUACUGAUACACUGUAUUGUUUCCCCUGUUGUCAAGUUGAAUGACAAGCCCAUUAAAAGCUGCCUCAACAGUGAACAAAGGGGUGGAAUACACAGGUUGGAGAAAAAUAACGGCCUCUGUCCCAUGAAGAAAAUCAGUACAAGAACAAGAUAUUUGAAGCAAUUCCAUGAUAUGGAGGAUUUUCC